RNAcentral lists this ribosomal RNA (494 nucleotides) under uncultured bacterium. Its description in RNAcentral is "partial 16S ribosomal RNA". It matches the Rfam family "Bacterial small subunit ribosomal RNA", at positions 29 to 507 of the family's 1533-position model. The record is from RNAcentral.
ACGAACGCUGGCGGCGUGCCUAAUACAUGCAAGUAGAACGCUGAAGGAGGAGCUUGCUUCUCUGGAUGAGUUGCGAACGGGUGAGUAACGCGUAGGUAACCUGCCUGGUAGCGGGGGAUAACUAUUGGAAACGAUAGCUAAUACCGCAUAAUAGUAGAUGUUGCAUGACAUUUGCUUAAAAGGUGCAAUUGCAUCACUACCAGAUGGACCUGCGUUGUAUUAGCUAGUUGGUGGGGUAACGGCUCACCAAGGCGACGAUACAUAGCCGACCUGAGAGGGUGAUCGGCCACACUGGGACUGAGACACGGCCCAGACUCCUACGGGAGGCAGCAGUAGGGAAUCUUCGGCAAUGGACGGAAGUCUGACCGAGCAACGCCGCGGGAGUGAAGAAGGUUUUCGGAUCGUAAAGCUCUGUUGUAAGAGAAGAACGAGUGUGAGAGUGGAAAGUUCACACUGUGACGGUAUCUUACCAGAAAGGGACGGCUAACUACGUG